Molecule: long non-coding RNA, 697 nt
Organism: Episyrphus balteatus (marmalade hoverfly)
Lineage: Eukaryota; Metazoa; Arthropoda; Insecta; Diptera; Syrphidae
Exons: 4
Source: RefSeq, a predicted model, not a curated record
CCAGUAUCGAGUAUGCGUCGAAAAGCUUAGUGUUCCAACGUAACCACAUUAAGCCAAACAAAAAUAAAAUCCAUGCCAUAGCUAUUUUCCAUCUUGAACAAAUUUGUGUUCCAGGACUUAAGACAUUAUAGGUAGAAGUUGCUGGUGCUGAAGCUGAAGCUGAAGCUGGUUCUCCUUUCAAAAUACGAAAGCUAUACAAACAUAUAUCCGAAUUUAUACCCAUGCACUAAAGAUCAAUUGAAAUCCUUAUUUAUUGGGUUGAAACUAUCAAAGUUGUUGCUGCGACUAUACUGAUGGUGGUCCUACUUUCUGCUGCUGAUGCUGCUUCUACUGAUGCCGAUACUGAUGCUAAGAUGCAACUGCACAGGUAAAGAUGUUCAGUACCAAGUGGGACAAGAACCGAGCGUAUAGUGUGGAGACAGUCCGCGGCUACCAACAUCACGGCGCCAUUUUUAAAUAUUUUCAAAUAAAAUUUGACAAGUUUCAGAUUUAUUAAUUAAAAACAAAAAAGUGAAUUUUUCGGUGAACAAGGGUAGCCAGACCCCUAAACUGAAGUCCCAUACUUUGGCGGACACUUUGUGGCGGAAUCAAAAAAAAUUAAUCUCAUUUAUUGUAGCUAAUUAAAUGCUAAUUUGUUGCGCAAAAAUUGUCCAAAAAAAUGCGAAAUUCAAAAAAAAAAAUUUUGCAGAAAUUUGAA